AUGGUGGGACCAUUCAAAACAGCACGAGGCGGCCUAACUCACUUACUUGUCACGGUGGACAAAUUCACCAAGUGGAUAGAAGUAAAGCCCAUCAAGAAGUUGAAUGGUCCGACUGCAGUAACUUUCAUCGCCGACAUCACGACUCGGUACGGCAUACCACACAACAUCAUCACCGACAAUGGCACAAAUUUCGCCAAAGGUGCCUUGGCUCAUUUCUGCGCGAUACAGGGCAUCCGACUGGACUUAGCGUUCGUUGCCCAUCCGCAGUCAAACGGCCAAGUAGAGCGAGCAAACAGCCUCAUCCUGUCCGGCAUCAAGCCUCGGCUGGUCGAACCACUGGAGCAUUCGGCCGGCUGUUGGCUUGACGAGUUGCCAGCCGUCCUCUGGAGUCUGCGCACGACUCCAAACAAGUCAACCGGCUUCACACCUUUCUUCCUCGUCUAUGGUGCUGAAGCCGUCAUCCAGACGGACAUAGAGUUUGACUCCCCGCGAGUCACCAUGUACACCGAGGAGGAAGCAGAAGAAGCACGUCAAGACGGUGUCGAUCUGCUGGAAGAGGGCCGACUGUUGGCACUCAGCCGGUCCAGCAUCUACCAGCAGAGCCUGCGCCGAUACUACAACAGGAAGGUCAGGCCGAGAUCUUUCCAAGAGGGCGACCUUGUGCUCUGA
RNAcentral lists this ribosomal RNA (669 nucleotides) under Triticum aestivum (bread wheat). RNAcentral's name for it is "partial small subunit ribosomal RNA". Lineage: Eukaryota; Viridiplantae; Streptophyta; Magnoliopsida; Poales; Poaceae. The record is from RNAcentral.